CAAGUACUCCCUCCGUCCGGAAAUACAUGUCGAAGAAAUGAAUGUAUCUAGACGUAUUUAGUUCUAGAUGCAUCCAUUUUUACCUAUUUCUCCGACGAGUAUUUCUGGACGGAGGAAGUACUAU
This is a non-coding RNA of Triticum aestivum (bread wheat), 124 nucleotides long. Lineage: Eukaryota; Viridiplantae; Streptophyta; Magnoliopsida; Poales; Poaceae. The record is from Rfam.